UACGUAGGUGGCAAGCGUUGUCCGGAUUUAUUGGGUUUAAAGGGUGCGUCGGCGGUCUAUUAAGUCAGUUGUGAAAUACGGCAGCUCAACUGUCGAGGUGCAAUUGAUACUGAUGGACUUGAGUACUGAUGAGGUAAGCGGAAUGGACGGUGUAGCGGUGAAAUGCUUAGAUAUCGUCCAGAACACCGAUAGCGAAGGCAGCUUACUAAGGAGUAACUGACGCUGAGGCACGAAAGUGUGGGGAUCAAACAGG
This 253-nucleotide ribosomal RNA is filed under the name uncultured bacterium. RNAcentral describes it as "partial 16S ribosomal RNA". It matches the Rfam family "Bacterial small subunit ribosomal RNA", at positions 524 to 776 of the family's 1533-position model. The record is from RNAcentral.